RNAcentral lists this ribosomal RNA (408 nucleotides) under uncultured bacterium. Its description in RNAcentral is "partial 16S ribosomal RNA". It matches the Rfam family "Bacterial small subunit ribosomal RNA", at positions 28 to 526 of the family's 1533-position model. The record is from RNAcentral.
GACGAACGCUGGCGGCGUGCUUAACACAUGCAAGUCGAACGAAGUGGCGAACGGGUGAGUAACGCGUAAUCAACCUGCUCUUCAGAGGGGUACAACAGUUGGAAACGAUUGCUAAUACCUCAUACUGAAGGUGGGGAUUGCGUCUGAUUCGCUAGCUGGAGGGGUAACGGCCCACCAAGGCGAUGACCAGUAGACUGUCUGGGGAGAUGGACGGCGACCAUGGGACUGGGGACAGGCCCAGAAUCCUACGGGAGGCAACAGUGGGGAAUCUUCCGCAAUGGACGGAAGUCUGACGGAGCAAAGCCGCGUGAGUGAUGACGGCCUUCGGGUUGUAAAGCUCUGUUAAUCGGGACGCGGUACCGGAAUAGAAAGCCACGGCUAACUACGUGCCAGCAGCCGCGGUAAUAC